This 427-nucleotide ribosomal RNA is filed under the name uncultured Halomonas sp. RNAcentral's name for it is "bacterial SSU rRNA". It matches the Rfam family "Bacterial small subunit ribosomal RNA", at positions 355 to 774 of the family's 1533-position model. Lineage: Bacteria; Pseudomonadati; Pseudomonadota; Gammaproteobacteria; Oceanospirillales; Halomonadaceae. The record is from RNAcentral.
UGGGGAAUAUUGGACAAUGGGCGAAAGCCUGAUCCAGCCAUGCCGCGUGUGUGAAGAAGGCCCUCGGGUUGUAAAGCACUUUCAGCGAGGAAGAACGCCUAGGGGUUAAUACCCCCUAGGAAAGACAUCACUCGCAGAAGAAGCACCGGCUAACUCCGUGCCAGCAGCCGCGGUAAUACGGAGGGUGCAAGCGUUAAUCAGAAUUACUGGGCGUAAAGCGCGCGUAGGUGGCUUGAUAAGCCGGUUGUGAAAGCCCCGGGCUCAGCCUGGGAACGGCAUCCGGAACUGUCAAGCUAGAGUGCAGGAGAGGAAGGUAGAAUUCCCGGUGUAGCGGUGAAAUGCGUAGAGAUCGGGAGGAAUACCAGUGGCGAAGGCGGCCUUCUGGACUGACACUGACACUGAGGUGCGAAAGCGUGGGUAGCAAACA